AAAGAAAGUGGAAGAAGGAGAAGGUUGAGAAAAAGAGGAAGAGAGGAAAGAAGAAAAGAUCAUAUGAAAAGCCCCUUCCUCAUAAAAAGAAAAAUCAUAGGAAGGAAAAGAAGUUCAAGCACUGUAUGGAGAUCUUCAAGAAAUUGGAGAUCAAAAUUCCUAUGAUCGAAACAUGGAAACCGAUGCUUGGUUUGAUCAACUUUUUGAAGAGAUUCAGCAGGAAGAAGAAAAAGAAGAAAAUAGCAAGCAAAAGGAGUAUCAACGCCUACUGAUGUGUGUUUGAACUCUACCGGGUCAAGCUAAUGACGUUAAAAGAGUGCUAACUGGGAGGCACCCCAAUGAUUGUUGUAUACUAUUUUUCUUUUUGUUGGAUUUGUAAAUUUGGUAUUU
This 390-nucleotide long non-coding RNA is filed under the name Vigna radiata. RNAcentral's name for it is "long non-coding RNA (VRAD_LNC015294)". Lineage: Eukaryota; Viridiplantae; Streptophyta; Magnoliopsida; Fabales; Fabaceae. The record is from RNAcentral.